Molecule: ribosomal RNA, 404 nt
Filed under: uncultured bacterium
Lineage: Bacteria
Description: bacterial SSU rRNA
Rfam family: Bacterial small subunit ribosomal RNA
Source: RNAcentral
UAACGAAUCUUCCACAAUGCACGAAAGUGUGAUGGAGCGACGCCGCGUGUAGGAUGAAGUCCUUCGGGAUGUAAACUACUGUCAGGGGAAAGAAAGUUCUGAUCUACCCCAGAGGAAGGCACGGCUAACUCUGUGCCAGCAGCCGCGGUAAGACAGAGGUGCCAAGCGUUAGGCGGAAUCACUGGGCUUAAAGCGUGUGUAGGCGGAUCGUUAAGUGCUUUGUGAAAUCCCUCGGCUCAACCGAGGAAUUGCUUGGCAUACUGGCGAUCUUGAGCCACCUAGGGGCAACUGGAACAAACGGUGGAGCGGUGAAAUGCGUAGAUAUCGUUUGGAACGCCAAAGGUGAAAACAGGUUGCUGGGGGUGUGCUGACGCUGAGACACGAAAGCCAGGGGAGCAAACGGG